RNAcentral lists this long non-coding RNA (12776 nucleotides) under Brassica napus (rape). RNAcentral describes it as "long non-coding RNA (BNAP_LNC014508)". Lineage: Eukaryota; Viridiplantae; Streptophyta; Magnoliopsida; Brassicales; Brassicaceae. The record is from RNAcentral.
CGCAGACAAACAUGGGCGAAGCCUCAAAGCUCCAUAUCUUCCUCUUCCCUUACAUGGCUCAUGGCCACAUGAUACCAACUCUUGACAUGGCCAAGCUCUUCUCCACCAAAGGAGCCAAAUCCACUAUUCUAACCACACCUCUCAACGCCAAGAUCCUCGAAAACCCCAUCAAAUCAUUCAACCAGGACAACCCUGGACUCGAAGACAUCACCAUCCACAUCCUCCAUUUCCCUUGCACAGAGCUAGGGUUGCCCCAAGGAUGCGAGAACACUGAUUUCUUCUUCUCUAAUCCUGACCUUAACACAGGUGACUUGAACCGCAAGUUUCUACUUUCAAUGGAAUAUUUCAAAGAGCAGUUAGAGCAGCUCCUCGAGACAGUGAGACCAGACUGUCUUGUCGCCAAUAUGUUCCUCCCUUGGGCAACUAAACUCGCUGAGAAGUUUGGUGUACCAAGACUUGUGUUCCACGGCACAGGCUACUUCUCUUUAUGUGCUUCUCAUUGCUUAAGGCUCCACAAGCCUUACAAGAACGUUGCUUCGAGUUCUGAGCCCUUUGUGAUUCCUGAACUCCCCGGAGAUAUUGUGAUCACAGAGGAACAGGUCAUAGAGAAAGAAGCAGAGUCUGUGAUGGGGAAGUUUAUGAAGGAACUGAGAGACUCAGAGAGAAGCAGCUUUGGUGUGUUGGUGAACAGCUUCCACGAGCUUGAACCUGCUUACUCCGAUUUUUACAAGAGUUCUGUAGCUAAAAGGGCUUGGAGUAUCGGUCCGCUUUCUCUAGGGAACAGAGAGUUCAAGGAGAAAGCAGAGAGGGGCAAAAAGGCUAGCAUUGAUGAGCAUAAAUGUUUGAAAUGGCUUGAUUCCAAGAGAUGUGAAUCAGUUAUUUACUUGUCAUUUGGAACCAUGUUGAGCUUCAACAACGAGCAGCUCGUUGAGAUUGCAGCUGGCUUGGAUAUGUCAGGACAUGAUUUUAUAUGGGUGGUAAACAAAAGUGGCAGCCAAGGUACUCAUCAAACAUAUCUUUCUAGCCAUUAUUUGCAACAUUGCCUUCUGUUUUAUUUAAAGUAAAAAAAUGAUUUGGGAUUCUACUAUAAAGAUGCUUUAUAGGGGACUAAAUGCCGCCUAGACCGUUUUUUAGAACACUAUUUUUAUGUCUUGUGUUGUGAAUAGGUGAUAAGGAAGAGUGGUUACCUGAGGGGUUCGAAGAGAAGAUGAAAGGAAGAGGAUUGAUAAUCCGUGGCUGGGCGCCACAAGUUGUAAUACUAGACCAUCAAGCAGUUGGAGGAUUUUUGACACAUUGCGGAUGGAACUCGCUUCUAGAAGGUGUAGCAUCAGGGCUACCAAUGGUGACAUGGCCCAUUGGAGCAGAGCAGUUCUACAACGAGAAGUUGGUAACACAAGUGUUGAAAACAGGAGUGAGUGUAGGAGUAAAGAAGAUGAUGAAACCUGAUGGAGAUUUCAUUACCAAAGAGAGAGUGGAGAAAGCUGUAAGGGAAGUGAUGGCUGGAGAAGAGAUGAGGAAACGGGCUAAGCAGUUAGCGGAUAUGGCGAAAGAUGCGGUGAGAGAAGGUGGAUCUUCAGAUAUUGAAGUGAACAGGUUGAUGGAAGAGCUUAAGUUGGUUAGGUUGCAAAAAGAAGAGGAAAAAAGAAGUUGAUCUUUUUUUUCUAUGUUAAGAAAUAAAUGUUAUUGACAAACAAUAACGAUGUUGUUGGUUUGAGUUACUUUCUCGAAUCAGAACGAUUUAGUAUGUUGUUCUACUAUACUGUUUACUCUACGAUGUCACAUGUUUUACUUAGUUUGAAAGUACUCUCUUGACUCUUAUGUUAUGUGAAAAAGAAUAUUAGUAUCUGUGCAGUAAAAUUUAGAAUGAAUGACCUGGUUUGUAAUAUUCAGGGCCGAUCUUACGCGUAGCGAUUGAUAAAACAUUCAUUUUGUCCCCCAAAAUUUAAGUAGUUAAUAUGUAUAGAUCAUUCAACUUUAUAGGUAAAGAAACGUGAAAUUAAGUUCUUGAGUAAUCAAAACACAAACCCCUUCAUCAGUUCCGUCUUCUAAUAUUGUUAGCUCGGUUGAAGCGAAGAACAUGAACCAUAAGGAUUCCACUAACAUUUGGCACACUCCCAACAUCACUUCCUAAUGACAUACAAAACUUUACUCGAUUAGCAUCAAACUAUCUCCAGAUAUAAUUCUUUAAAGUCUGCAGUUUUUAUGUAGGGCUUCUAGAAAUGUAUACAGGCUUCUUUCUUUUCUUGCAUGCAAUAAGUAACUUCAAUAAAGUCUAUUUAUAUCAAUAAUAUAAGGUUAGUAGUAUUCUAUCCUUUUUUUUCUCCAGUCUCCAUAAGGCGAAUGGCAAGUUGUGUUCUUACAAGUCUUCUUUAUUGGUGGACAGUCUCAAACCACGUGCUAUGAACUUAUCAACUUAGCUUUCUCUAAUAUAAAGUCUAAAGACCCAAUACUUCAAGAAAAGUAUCCUGGAAUCAUUAGAGCAUCAGCACUUCAGCAGUGGUACCAAAAUAUUAGAAUCUUUCAAACAAAAUAAUAGUAAAAAAUAAAAAAAAAGUACGAGAGAGGAUGUUAAAAAAGUGAGGAUCGAUUGGUGGCAAGAAACGUUAAUAGCAUGAUUAGAGCAUAAUUAACCCUCCUAGGCAAAUUUUUUUUUCUUUUUUUUUGUCAGAAAAAAAAAAUUAAAAGUGAACCAAUCGCGGACUGCCACGUGUCGGUGGGAUCCGCGAACAGUGCAAAAAAUCCUCUACAAUCGAUCCUUAUUUUGUUGUUUUUGUCACCGGUUUUAAAAACUUUGCUGGGGUCCACGCACUAAUUUGUUUUAAGAAACCCAUUAACUACGCGAUAAUCAUGGUCUUAUUGGAGUUUUUAGGAUGAAGUUCUUAGAGGAAUAUAAGAACACGUCUCUUAACUUUUAACUACAAAAGCUAAGAACCCCACCCUAAGAACCUCUAAUAAUCAUGCUCUAGACACUCCUCAAAAACGUCCAUAUGCCACUCUGGAUUAAAUUUUUAUUUCCACUAAAAUUUAAUUAGAUAAAAGUUAAUACUAGAAUACUAAUAUAUUAAUUGCAAUGUACUUUCUAUAAGACCAUAUACAAUGGUUUCAACACCUUCCACAUAUUCAACACCCUAUUUUUUUCUUUUUAACGCUCCACAUUAUCUUUUCUCUCUUCCACCUCGUUUAUUCAACAUCUACUUCAAUAUACACCUCUACAAUAGUUUAUUUUAAAAAAUUCACCACCAUACCCCACAACUCUUAAUUCAUGUUUUUGUUUUUUACAAUUAACUUAAAAACUAAAAUAACAAAACUUUUAAUAAUAUUUAUUUUGAAUUAUUAUACUUAGCUUAAUUUUUAAAUAGUACCAAAAUCUGUAUUAAUAAAACAAUCAAAAUUAAGAACAUAUUUAUUUUUUUAACUAAGAUAUUUACCAAAUUUUAUUUUCAAAUAUACGAAACUUAUUAUUAUUAAAACAACUAAAAUUAAGAAAAUUUAAAUACACACGAUACAAACACAUAUUAUUAAGAAAUUUUAAACACACAAGAUACAAAGCACACAAAAUAAAAAUACAUUAAAACUCUUAAAGCACAUACAUAUUUUUUUAAAAAAAAAUUAAACAUGAAACAUUCCAAAUUUUACCCAUAUGUGUUUAACUAGAUCUGAUUGCAAUUCAUGAUGUAUAGUUGAAUCACGUAAUUCAGAUCUAGUACGCACAUGAUUUGCAAAUGCUGGUAGCACCUCAGUAGAAAAUGGUUGUGGUGUACUCGAACCACUUGCCUCAGAUUGAUCAUAAUCGGUCCAAUUAUGAGCAUAUGUAUCUCGUUCAUUCUCAACAAUCAUAUUAUGCAAUAUGAUACAUGACCGCAUGAUGAUAGCAAGAUCCGAUAUCUCCCACAUGCGAGCUGGUUCACGAAUGAUUUUAAACCGAGCUUGUAAUACUCCAAAUGCGCGCUCGAUGUCCUUCUGAUACCCUUCUUGAUAUUUUGCAAAUAACUUAUCUGGUUCACUUUGAGGAAGUCAGAUUGAUUUGACAAAAAUUGGAUAAGAAUGAUAGAUACCAUCAGCUAGAUAAUAUGCCAUGUCAUAUGGACGUUGGUUUACAAAAAACUUUACUCUUGGAGUAUUACCUUGUUCAACAUCAUCAAACACCGGCGAAUGAUCUAGAACAUUUAUAUCGUUUAAUGUUCCCGGACAUCCAAAAAAGGCAUGUCAAAUCCAUAGAUCAUGAGAUACAACUGCUUCAAGUAUAACCGUGGUGGUUCCCUUAUCUCCCCGAGUAAACUGACCUUCCCAUGCUGUUGGAAAAUUUUUCCAUUCCCAAUGCAUGCAAUCAAUACUCCCGAUCAUUCCUAGAAACCCCCUCAUCUCACUGGCAUGCAAAUUUUUUUGCAAGUCAUCUUUAAUUGGAGCUCUAAGAUACUCUUGCUCAUACAACCGUAUGAUUCCUUUACAUAAACGGCGCAAGCACUCUAAUGCUGUAGUACCUCCUAUUUUGAUAUAUUCGUCAAUCGCAUCGGCAUCAACACCAUACACUAACAUUCAAUUGGCAGUAGUGCAUUUUGCUAAUGGAGAAAUACCUUCCUUAUUUGCUGCGUCAACUCAUUGGGUGAAAUAGUUGUCACUCCUUGAUAGGUCUCCAAUGAUCCGAAGAAAAGCAUAUUUUCGCAUCCGAAAUCGCCGACAAAACAUUUGUUCAUCAUAUGUAGGUUGAUUGGCAAAUUAGUCAUCAAUCAGCCUUUGAUUCGCUGCUACAUGAUCUUUCUUGAAGUAUUUUCUCUUGCUACGAGACAUAUGGUCUUUCUCAAAUUUUUUCGGCGCUCUAUAAACCGGUGUUAGAUAUACCUCUCUUCAAGCUCACACUGUUUUUUGUACACUUUGAUAUCGAAAGAAAAUUCUGAUGGAUCCAUUGAUAUUUUUUUGUAAGAUGAAAUUGUGUUAUUGAUACAUUUACGGGAAAAUGAGUUUCCAUUUAUAAAAACCUGAGUGGAUGAAAAUUCUUGACUCCAAGCAAACAUUAAAUUGGCAUAAAUAAUAGAUAACGAUUGGAUUCUCUUACAAAAUCAGAAAGUCACGUAUUGCAUACAAACAAAAUUAUUAAAGUGAAAAAAACACGCAUUAUUAAAGCCGAAAAAACACAUUAUUUAAAAAGAAAGAUACAAACAAACAUUAUUAAAGAAGAAAAAAACAAACACGCAUUAUUAAAGGUGAAAAAAAAACAUACAUUAUUAAAGAAGAAAAAUACAAACACACAUUAUUAAAAGAAAAAUACAAACACACAUUACUAAUUUCUAAAUAGAUCAUUGCUCAACUUCUCUAACAGCUGUUUGUUCUUGUCACCAAGAUGUUCUUUUUCACUUAGCUUCAAGAACAUCUUCAUUUUUUUGGUUUCAAUCUUUUCUUUCAUCAAUCGAUUUGCCUCCUCUUGUGUCUUGGCUGUUUUGUCCAAUCGUUCCAAUUCUUGCUGUUUGAAUUGUUUGUAUUCAUUCCACUCUUCGUUGACGGUUUCCAAAGCUGCACCUUUGCUUUUCUUUUUGCCUUUUUUUUUGUUGCCUCUCUCCCCAUUGGACGAGCACUUGAUCCUACAGAGUUUGAUCCUACGGAGUUCGAAUCACUGGCAUCACUCUCUCGGGAUCUCUUAGAUCCACUACUUAUAAAGCCAUUAUUUCCUCCUACUUGACUACCAUAGCGCGGUUGAUCACGAACAACAAGCCACUCCGACAUUAAAUUGAAAUGUUCAUUUUUACCACUUGAAUAUAAUUCGUGCGCUUUUGCCAUUACAUCAUUCUCCGACCAUCCACUUUGUUGCAUACACCUAGCGUUAUCGUAAGCGCCACUCCAUUUGCUCAACUUUUUAUUCAUAUAGUUGAAAUUAUUUCUACAUGAAGCUCCAUCACGGGGAGGAUCAAAUGAGCAAUGCUCAUUACAAUACUCAAAAAUUUUACUCCAGUAUACUUUGCUUUUCUGGUUCCUGCCAACAAUGAUGUUUGUUCCAUAUUUAAUCCAUCCACUAAGUAGCACCAAGUUUUGAUCGGUGGUCCACUUAGGGCUUCUACGGCGAGCUUGAGCUGAUUCAUCUUCAUUUGCGUCGGGAAUGGGUUCGCUAGCACCACUCAUGCCACCAAGAGCUAUUUGGGUACAAAAUUUGGGAAAUUCAGUUGCUCUCGUAAUAUUUGCAUCACCCGUUGGAGUAGAAGAAAAUGGAGGUGUUUGAGAAAAAUAUUGCAUCAUUGAUCCGUAAUUUGAAGGAUAAUUCGGAACAAAUGAUGACAUGAUGAAAUUUGGUGGGAAACCAUAAUUUGGUAUAUUUUGGGGUUGGUUGGAAGUUUGGUUUUGAAAUUGAUAAUUGUUGGGAUUUUGGAAGUUAAACGGAAAAUUAGAAGAGUUUUGGGUGUUAAAAAGAUUAUUAUUGGGAUCCAUUUAACAAAAAAAAAAUUAAACACUAAAAUAGUUGAUUAUAAUGAAAAAUGAUGUUUUUUUUUGUAUCCAAACGAAAUGAGAGUAGUCUCUAUUUAUAGAUAAAAAAAAUCUUGAAUUUUGAUAUAAUUUUUUUAUCUUUUUUUAAAAUAGUUAUAUUAUAAAAUAAACGAGUUCGGAUUAUUGGGUGAGGAUAAAUAUCAAAAGAAAUCUGUACAGCCAAUGAAAAGAUAGCAUUUAAAUAUUAUCAUGAAUUAAAUUAAAGAAAAUCGUGUAAUCCCGCGCGCGUGCGUUCACGCUCUCAAUAUUUUCUACCCACUCAUGGCGCGACACAUGUCAUCUGUAGACCACAAAAAAAAAUUCAACAGCUGAAACUUUGCAACGCCUGUUGAACACACGUAGAUUAACAUAAAAAUUCAACACUCACUGCAUGCUCUUCAACCGUUGAAAAUGAGUUUCAACACCUUUAUUGCUCCUGGUCUAAGAGACUAUCCACUAAUCAUGUUCUUAGGUUAAACUUCUCCAUGUUAUGAUGAUUAAGACGCUAGGCGGGAAGAUAAUUCUAAAUGAUUAGUCAAAUGGGAUUGAUUAGGCGAUUUCAAUGUAUACUAGUCAAAUUAAGCACUAAUAUAAGUGUCAUCUUGAGAGUUUACAAGUUAUUUAUUUUUGGUACAGCCGACAAAGAAAAACAAAGUUGGUCCAUAAAUCUUGAAAACUGAUCCUAGAUUCCGACAAGUGUGGCAAGUUGACAGAGGAGAAGUACCAAUGAAACCAAAACAAGUUACGUAUGCAUAUACGUCAGAAUCCAUUACCCAAAAUGAUCUCACAAGAAUCCAAACUAACGUGUGGAUGGUGGAUUUUAUACAUUAUAUAUUUAGAAAUACUGUAAUGAUAAAAUAUAUACAUCAAGCAAAGACUCCCACAAUCAUUCAAUACGUCAAGAAAUAUUACUUUUUCUACGAGGUUCAGAAUCUUUUACUUCUCUGAACUUAUUUCUCAAAAUUCUCAUAGUAAAUCUCAUUUUCUUUGCAACCAAAGCAAGAGAAACAUGAGUAGUAGUAAUCCACAACACAAGCUCCAUGUUAUGUUCUUCCCUUUCAUGGCUUAUGGCCACAUGAUACCAACUCUUGACAUGGCUAAGCUUCUCUCCAGCAGAGGAGCCAAGUCCACUAUUAUCACCACACCUCUCAACUCCAGGAUCCUCCAGAAACCCAUCGACGUAUUCAAGAACCUGAAUCCCAAUCUUGAUAUCGAUAUCGAGAUCUUCGAUUUCCCUUGCGUGGAGCUAGGGUUACCAGAAGGAUGCGAGAACGUCGAUUUCUUCACCUCAAACACCAACGUCGACAGUAACUACAUGGCCUUUAAAUUCUUUAUGUCGACAAGUUUUUUCAAAGAUCAGCUCGAGGUUCUCCUCAAGAAGACAAGACCAGACUGUCUUAUCGCCGACAUGUUCUUCCCAUGGGCUACUGAAGCUGCAGAGAAGUCUCAUGUGCCAAGACUUGUGUUUCACGGCACUGGCUACUUCUCUUUAUGCGCUGGUUACUGCAUUAAAAUGCAUAAACCACAGAACAAAGUAGCUUCGAGUUGUGAGCCCUUUGUGAUUCCAGAGCUCCCCGGUGACAUAGUGAUAACUCAAGAACAGAUCAUAGACGGAGACAACGAGUCCGAGAUGGGGAAGUUCAUGAUUGAUGUGAGAGAAUCAGAGCUGAAGAGCUCAGGUGUUGUUGUGAACAGCUUCUACGAGCUUGAACCUGAUCACGCAGACUUUUACAAGAGAUUUGUAGCUAAGAGAGCGUGGCAUAUCGGUCCGCUCUCUGUUAUAAACAGAGGAUUUGAAGAGAAGGCUGAGAGAGGAAAGAAAGCUAGCAUUGAUGAAGCUGAAUGCCUCAAAUGGCUUGACUCCAAGGAACAAGAUUCAGUCAUAUACAUUUCAUUUGGGAGCGUGGCUUGCUUCAAGAACAAGCAGCUGAGAGAGAUCGCUCUAGGGUUAGAAGCGUCUGGCACAAAUUUUAUUUGGGUUGUGAGGGAAAACACAGAUGACAAAGAAGAAUGGUUGCAAGAAGGGGUUGAAGAGAGGCUCAAAGAAAGAGGAAUGAUAAUAAGAGGAUGGGCACCACAAGUACUGAUACUUGAGCACCAAGCAACAGGAGGGUUUGUGACUCACUGUGGCUGGAACUCGCUUCUUGAAGGUGUGGCUGCAGGGCUACCUAUGGUGACGUGGCCUAUUGGAGCAGAGCAAUUCUACAACGAGAAGUUGGUUACGCAAGUUCUCAGAACUGGAGUGAACGUGGGAGCCACAAAGCAUGUGAAAGCUAUGGAAGAUGAUAUCAUUAGUAGAGAGAAAGUAGAGAAGGCGGUGAGAGAGGUCUUGGUUGGGGUAGAGGCGGAGGAGAGGCGUAAACGGGCGAAGAAGCUGGCGGAGAUGGCUAAAGCUGCGGUGGAAGAAGGAGGGUCUUCUUUUAACGAUCUAAACAACUUCAUAAAAGAGUUCAGCUCAUGAUGAUUCUUCGUAUAGAGUUUUGGUUACAACUCUUAUAUUGGGAAUAAGACAAAACCUAAUGUAAUAUUCAAGGAAUAUAGGUUAAUCAAUCUUUCAUUUUCACUUGAGCGAGCUAGUAUGAAUUUGUAUCUAGAAGCGGCAGUCAAUAAUUUUCCCAACUGUUUGAUUCUAAGAGGCGCCAAAAAUUCUGGUACAUGUUUAAAUCACGUCUUAAUUACAUUUGUCAAAGAUCCACCAACGUUAAGACUUGAGAGAUUUCAUAAAAAAAAAACAAGAGUUAAAGACAGAUGUGCGUUUUGAGAAAGUGGUGACACAUGAUCUUGUCUUGUUACAUGCACAUGCAUGCGUAAGAUUUGACUUUUCUUUGUUGGUAUGGAACCGAAAGAGCAGUUAAACUUUAUGAUAUAGAUAUACAAAUAAUACUCUCUAAAUAGCAUCAACAUUAAUUAUUACAUAUUGAUAACCUAUUAGAAUAUUUUUUUUAUUAAGAUAUAAACUCAUAUUGACUGUUUUAACAAAAGCGACAGCAUAAUUUCAAGUUAUACAUUAUACUAGUCAAUUAAUUAAAAAAAUUACUCAAAAUAUCAACAUAAUUGUAGAUUUUGAAUUGAUUUUCACUGAGACUUGAUCUAAACUAGUGGAGCGUGCCGGAUGAUGGUCAAACGAAACUAAUUAAGAAACAAUUAGUUUGAGUUAUUUCAUAUGAAUCGGUAUAAAAUAUAUAAAUUAAAAAAAAAUUGGUUCCACGAUACCUUGAAAACAGAUACUAGAUUCCAAAAAACCCAAAAUCAGUGACGUAUGCAAAGACGUCAGGUUCAUUAAACCAAAACGUUUCUUGUAUGUUAUAUAAAUAGAGAGAUGCAUAACCAACUCUUCUACAAGCUUCAGAAUCUUUCAUCUCUCUCAAAUUUCUCGAAACAUAUCAUUUUUUUUCAGUCAAAGUCAAACAUGGCUAGUAACUCUCAUAAGCUCCAUGUUAUGUUCUUCCCUAUCAUGGCUCAUGGUCACAUGAUACCAACUCUAGACAUGGCUAAGCUAUUCUCCAGCAGAGGAGCCAAGUCCACUAUUCUAACCACACCUCUCAACGCCAAGAUCCUCCAGAAACCCAUCGACAUAUUCAAGAACCUCAAUCCGAGUCUCCAAAUCGAGAUCCAGAUUUUGGAUUUUCCUUGCGUCCAGCUCGGGUUACCAGAAGGAUGCGAAAACGCUGACUUCUUCACCUUAACCAACAACAUUGAUGAUAGACGCGCCAUGAUCUCCAAAUUCUUUUUGGCGACCAGGUUUUUCAAAGACCAGCUUGAGAAGCUCCUCGAGACCAGGAGACCAGACUGUCUUAUCGCCGACAUGUUCUUCCCGUGGGCUACUGAAGCUGCUGAGAAGUUCCAUGUGCCAAGACUUGUGUUCCACGGCACUGGCUACUUCUCUUUAUGCGCUAGUUAUUGCAUCAGAGUGCAUAACCCACAGAAGAGAGUAGCUACAAGUAGCGAGCCAUUUGUGAUCCCUGAUCUCCCAGGGAACAUUGUGAUAACUCGAGGACAGAUCUUAGACCGUGGUGAAGACACCGAGAUGGGGAAGUUUAUGACCGAGGUUUUAGAAUCAGAAGCGAAGAGCUCAGGUGUUGUUGUGAACAGCUUCUACGAGCUUGAACCUGACUAUGCUGAUUUUUACAAGAGUAGUGUAGCAAAGAGAGCGUGGCAUAUUGGUCCGCUCUCGGUUCACAACAGAGGAUUUGAGGAGAAGGCUGAGAGAGGAAAGAAAGCAAGCAUUGAUGAAGCUGAAUGCCUCAAGUGGCUUGACUCCAAGAAACCAGAUUCAGUCGUUUACAUUUCAUUUGGGAGCGUGGCUAACAUCAAGAACGAGCAGACGUGGGAGCCACAAAGCAUGUGAAAGCUAUGGAAGAUGAUAUCAUUAGUAGAGAGAAAGUAGAGAAGGCGGUGAGAGAGGUCUUGGUUGGGGUAGAGGCGGAGGAGAGGCGUAAACGGGCGAAGAAGCUGGCGGAGAUGGCUAAAGCUGCGGUGGAAGAAGGAGGGUCUUCUUUUAACGAUCUAAACAACUUCAUAAAAGAGUUCAGCUCAUGAUGAUUCUUCGUAUAGAGUUUUGGUUACAACUCUUAUAUUGGGAAUAAGACAAAACCUAAUGUAAUAUUCAAGGAAUAUAGGUUAAUCAAUCUUUCAUUUUCACUUGAGCGAGCUAGUAUGAAUUUGUAUCUAGAAGCGGCAGUCAAUAAUUUUCCCAACUGUUUGAUUCUAAGAGGCGCCAAAAAUUCUGGUACAUGUUUAAAUCACGUCUUAAUUACAUUUGUCAAAGAUCCACCAACGUUAAGACUUGAGAGAUUUCAUAAAAAAAAAACAAGAGUUAAAGACAGAUGUGCGUUUUGAGAAAGUGGUGACACAUGAUCUUGUCUUGUUACAUGCACAUGCAUGCGUAAGAUUUGACUUUUCUUUGUUGGUAUGGAACCGAAAGAGCAGUUAAACUUUAUGAUAUAGAUAUACAAAUAAUACUCUCUAAAUAGCAUCAACAUUAAUUAUUACAUAUUGAUAACCUAUUAGAAUAUUUUUUUUAUUAAGAUAUAAACUCAUAUUGACUGUUUUAACAAAAGCGACAGCAUAAUUUCAAGUUAUACAUUAUACUAGUCAAUUAAUUAAAAAAAUUACUCAAAAUAUCAACAUAAUUGUAGAUUUUGAAUUGAUUUUCACUGAGACUUGAUCUAAACUAGUGGAGCGUGCCGGAUGAUGGUCAAACGAAACUAAUUAAGAAACAAUUAGUUUGAGUUAUUUCAUAUGAAUCGGUAUAAAAUAUAUAAAUUAAAAAAAAAUUGGUUCCACGAUACCUUGAAAACAGAUACUAGAUUCCAAAAAACCCAAAAUCAGUGACGUAUGCAAAGACGUCAGGUUCAUUAAACCAAAACGUUUCUUGUAUGUUAUAUAAAUAGAGAGAUGCAUAACCAACUCUUCUACAAGCUUCAGAAUCUUUCAUCUCUCUCAAAUUUCUCGAAACAUAUCAUUUUUUUUCAGUCAAAGUCAAACAUGGCUAGUAACUCUCAUAAGCUCCAUGUUAUGUUCUUCCCUAUCAUGGCUCAUGGUCACAUGAUACCAACUCUAGACAUGGCUAAGCUAUUCUCCAGCAGAGGAGCCAAGUCCACUAUUCUAACCACACCUCUCAACGCCAAGAUCCUCCAGAAACCCAUCGACAUAUUCAAGAACCUCAAUCCGAGUCUCCAAAUCGAGAUCCAGAUUUUGGAUUUUCCUUGCGUCCAGCUCGGGUUACCAGAAGGAUGCGAAAACGCUGACUUCUUCACCUUAACCAACAACAUUGAUGAUAGACGCGCCAUGAUCUCCAAAUUCUUUUUGGCGACCAGGUUUUUCAAAGACCAGCUUGAGAAGCUCCUCGAGACCAGGAGACCAGACUGUCUUAUCGCCGACAUGUUCUUCCCGUGGGCUACUGAAGCUGCUGAGAAGUUCCAUGUGCCAAGACUUGUGUUCCACGGCACUGGCUACUUCUCUUUAUGCGCUAGUUAUUGCAUCAGAGUGCAUAACCCACAGAAGAGAGUAGCUACAAGUAGCGAGCCAUUUGUGAUCCCUGAUCUCCCAGGGAACAUUGUGAUAACUCGAGGACAGAUCUUAGACCGUGGUGAAGACACCGAGAUGGGGAAGUUUAUGACCGAGGUUUUAGAAUCAGAAGCGAAGAGCUCAGGUGUUGUUGUGAACAGCUUCUACGAGCUUGAACCUGACUAUGCUGAUUUUUACAAGAGUAGUGUAGCAAAGAGAGCGUGGCAUAUUGGUCCGCUCUCGGUUCACAACAGAGGAUUUGAGGAGAAGGCUGAGAGAGGAAAGAAAGCAAGCAUUGAUGAAGCUGAAUGCCUCAA